RNAcentral lists this ribosomal RNA (229 nucleotides) under uncultured bacterium. Its description in RNAcentral is "partial 16S ribosomal RNA". It matches the Rfam family "Bacterial small subunit ribosomal RNA", at positions 568 to 796 of the family's 1533-position model. The record is from RNAcentral.
UCCGUAGGCGGGCAAUUAAGUCAGAGGUGAAAUCCCACAGCUCAACUGUGGAACUGCCUUUGAUACUGGUUGUCUUGAGUUACAGUGAAGUAGAUAGAAUAUGUAGUGUAGCGGUGAAAUGCAUAGAUAUUACAUAGAAUACCGACUGCGAAGGCAGUCUACUAACUGUAUACUGACGCUAAUGGACGAAAGCGUGGGGAGCGAACAGGAUUAGAUACCCUGGUAGUCC